This 467-nucleotide ribosomal RNA is filed under the name uncultured bacterium. RNAcentral's name for it is "partial 16S ribosomal RNA". It matches the Rfam family "Bacterial small subunit ribosomal RNA", at positions 28 to 507 of the family's 1533-position model. The record is from RNAcentral.
GACGAACGCUGGCGGCGUGCUUAACACAUGCAAGUCGAACGGAAAGGCCCUGCUUUUGUGGGGUGCUCGAGUGGCGAACGGGUGAGUAACACGUGAGUAACCUGCCCUUGACUUUGGGAUAACUUCAGGAAACUGGGGCUAAUACCGGAUAGGAGCUCCUGCUGCAUGGUGGGGGUUGGAAAGUUUCGGCGGUUGGGGAUGGACUCGCGGCUUAUCAGCUUGUUGGUGGGGUAGUGGCUUACCAAGGCUUUGACGGGUAGCCGGCCUGAGAGGGUGACCGGCCACAUGGGGACUGAGAUACGGCCCAGACUCCUAGGGGAGGCAGCAGUGGGGAAUAUUGCACAAGGGGCGGAAGCCUGAUGCAGCAACGCCGCGUGCGGGAUGACGGCCUCGGGUUGUAAACCGCUUUCGCCUGUGACGAAGCGUGAGUGACGGUAAUGGGUAAAGAAGCACCGGCUAACUACGUG